CGCACGUCACUGGACGGCACUGCAGAAGCAGGCGAGUUCGCGAGUGUAUCGAUUUUGCGAUCGUGUCUCUCGCGACUAGUGUGUCCGUUUCCUUUAGUUUUUAGUGGCCGUGCUCGUCGUACAUGGAUGAAAUCGUGAAUGGGAUUACCCGCUAGGUUAAUUGCACCGUACAUCCGCUGACUCGCAACGCCUCGUCACCCAUCAGCAUGACCAAGGAUAGAUUAGCAGCUUUAGUCGCGGCCCAGUCGGACGACGAUGACGUGGCGGACGAAGUGUCCGUCAAUGUCGGCGGGCCGGAUGACUUCAUGACGGAGUUUUUUGCGGAGGUGGAGGAGAUACGUGAAAUGAUAGAUAGAAUCCAGACGAACGUCGAGGAUGUCAAGAAGAAACACAGCGCCAUUUUAUCGGCGCCACAAACGGACGAGAAGGUCAAAAUGGAGUUGGAAGACUUGAUGUCCGACAUCAAGAAAACUGCUAACAAAGUCAGGGCUAAGUUAAAGGUGAUAGAACAGAAUAUCGAGCAGGAAGAGCACACGAACAAAUCAUCGGCGGAUCUGAGGAUACGCAAGACUCAACAUUCAACAUUGUCUAGGAAGUUCGUAGAGGUGAUGUCGGAAUACAAUCGAACACAAACCGAUUAUAGAGAACGGUGUAAGGGAAGAAUACAACGACAGCUCGAGAUCACGGGGAGGACGACCACUAACGACGAACUCGAAGAAAUGCUGGAGCAAGGAAAUCCAGCAGUCUUUACGCAAGGGAUCAUCAUGGAAACGCAACAAGCAAAACAAACCCUUGCGGACAUCGAGGCACGUCACGCUGAUAUUAUAAAACUCGAAAAUUCGAUCAGGGAAUUGCAUGACAUGUUUAUGGACAUGGCUAUGCUAGUAGAAAGUCAGGGUGAGAUGAUAGAUCGUAUAGAAUAUCACGUGGAACAUGCGGUCGACUAUGUCCAAACGGCCACGCAGGACACCAAAAAAGCACUCAAGUAUCAAAGCAAAGCUCGACGGGCCACCGAACACGACGAAUCACAUCCUCAGGAAGCUCGCCUGCCGACGAACCCAGACGCGAUCUAUUCUUUCAGGUGCCUCGGGCAGUGCUAUUUUUGUUCAUUUUUACGGCAACAGAGAAAGACAAAGAAAGGGGAAACGUUUCAGCGUAGUGUUAAACAGGAAAUAAAAAUAAAAAUAAAAAAUAUAUAGUAAUAAUGGACAGAGGCGUUUACAAUUCUAAGCACACCUGUGAGAAAUUUGCAAAGUAAAACGAAACAAAAGAACAGAGAUAAGAAACAAAUAAAAAAAGAAAAACUUUGGUAGUCGUCAGGGCCAAGGAUAUAUAUAUAUAUAAUAUAUAUGUAUAUACAUAUAUAUAUAUAUAUAUAAAUAAUUUGGGAAAAAAUACGUAUGUGAGGGUAGGAGAAAAAGAAAAAGAAAGAGAGAGAGAUAAUUAAGAGAUAUAGGAAAGUUGGAGUGUACAUUGUAAUCGAUAAUCCGAUUUUUGCUGACCCGCUAACACCCGCCGAGUGCAGAAGAAGAUCAUGAUCAUGAUCUGCCUCGCCAUACUUUGCGUCGUCCUGGCAACUACCAUCGGUGGAUACUUCGGCCUGUGAACAUCAGAAGCAGGAAGGUACGAAGGAGACAAAGGCGAACGUCCGGCACUGUAUAUCUAAGUUGACGCGCCGGCAGCAGUCAUACUUCAUGCAUAUCGCCCCGACAACAAACGAACACACAAGACAGACCGUCAAGAAAGCAAUUUCAAGUUCUGGUCAUCGCUAAAAAAGCUCUCUCAUCUUAUCCAAAAACACGAGUUCUUCGUUCGAGUCGACGUUCGGUAAAUAGAGGGUGAAUGAAUCGGAAGAAAAGAAGAGAGGAGGGUGAAAAGUAGGAAAAAGGGAAGGAUGCGCAGUUAUUUUGAAGAGGGUCGUCGCCAUCAUCAUUAUCAUCGCUGCUAUCACACAUCAUCAUCAACAAGCAUACCUUUUUACGUCAAGCUUCGAGCUAGUUGCAUUCUGUCUAAGAGAACGAAAAAAAAUCGCCUGUUUUCUAUUAAAAAGUUCUUAGAAAAAGAAUAGCGAGAGAGAGAGAGAGUUCAACACACUUAUCCUGCGACGAGCGGCGAAAACGUAAUGUUGUAUCGCGAUCUGUCUUGUCUCAUCCCGAGGAAGAGAAGCUAAAAAGAGAUGAAAAAAAAUUAAGAAGAUUGCGGUGAAAUUUAUCUAAGAGAGAAACACAGACAGAGAGAAAUUAAAGGAACGAGGAGGGGCGGUGUAUUGAUGAGAUGUAAAAAAGGGGGAAAGUUUUAACAUUCGUUUCUCGGCGCUCCUACGAUUUUCUAGAUCGAGAUAUCGUUCGUAGAUCAUCGUAGGAGCGACGGAUCGUAAGACUAGUCAAUCGUAGCAUUUUAUUGAAAAACAACCAAAAAAGAGACUAAAGAAAUCUGUCGAGCCCCGACACCCAAUGGAGUUUUUCUGUAACGCGAAAUACAUGCCUCUAUCUUCGCCACUACUUGCUAUUGCAGAACAUUUUCUUCCUCAAUAUUUGAAAAAAAGAUAAGGAAAAAAAAUAAAGGAAAGAUAAAGAAAAAAAGAGGCAGUCGCCCGGUCGGUCUGUACGUUGCGACGCGAAUAUUUUUCAUUAUCUGUGAUUUAAAUAACGAAAAUAGUAAAAUAAAUCUAAAAAAAAAAGAAAAAAGAGAAAAAACAAAUAAAAAAACGAAAAAGACAGGACUUGGGAAUUAGUUCUCCGUAGAAGUCACAUUCUGAGUCACAUACGGCAAGAUUUUCUAUUCGUAUUUUCUAGAUUUUUAACUUCUCCCACUUUGAACUUCGACCUUAUUAUCACGUAUCCAUCCCUCACUUUUUGACGUGCACUUAACAUAUCAAAGAAGAUUGAAAAAAUACCGAAUUCUAAUUGAACUUACUCGCGCUUAACGCGUUAGUCUUUUUAUUUUUCUUUUCCAUAUUUUUUCUUCUUUUCUUUGACACGUCGACCCUAUCGCGUGUGGUUAAUUGUAAACGAAUUUCCGUGCUGUCGAUAGCAGAAGAAAAAGAGAAAGAAAGAAAGAGGAAAUCGUUAUGGAUCUUGAUACAUUAUCGUGUAAAGUACACAAGAGCCAAUUUAGACGAUACUCAUAAAUUUUUUAAUUCGUUUUAACGUUCUUUGUCGUUUCUACCCCGUGUUUCAAAGCGACGAUAAUUCGAUGAUUAAGAGACGUCAAGACCAAUAGGUGUUCAGAGAAAAAAGGAUACAAUCAAUUCUUCCGAUAUAUUUAAUCGAUUAGCAUGCGUAGUCGGUUAACUUAAAAAAAAAAACUAAAAAAUAAAUAAAUAAAUAAAGAAGAAUAAGAAUGACGAGACUUAGAUAAAAAAGAGAUAGAGAGAAGGAGAAAGAGGAUAUAGUCGCGCUCUUAAAAGCAUAACGAUUCUAGAAUGUGGCCGAUAUCCUUGUGAACGAAUUUCCAAGUGUGCGAUUAUAGUUUCCGAACGAGAAGAGCUAUACUUAGAUUAAUUAUACAUAUAAUUAUUACUUAUCUACUUAAAAAAAAAAAAGAGGAAAAGAAACAUGUAUGCAUUGUUUCUCUCCUUUGUUUUUCCUUUUUCUUUUCUUCGUUAAACUCGUAUAAGAUAUUGGUUAGUCAAUUUUAAUCUACACACUAUCGUAAAAAGUAACGAAAAAAAGUGAUUUAUGUUUGACCAUUUCGUGUUGCACAAAACGCCAUUAGGGUAUUGGGACUGUCUGCUAAGGGAUCGAAUGAACGCGAUCGUCCUUCAAGAACGAUGAUUUUUCGCAUUUCCAAAAAUUCUGAUCUGUUCUUUGGAAAAAAAAGAAAAAGAAAAAAAUGAUAACGAUAACAAACAAAGGAAAAAACCCACUUGCAACCUUCUUUUCGCAACGCCGUUUUAGACAACAUCGUUUUGCUAGCUUCUCUCUUCGAAUCACCUAGUUAUUAUUAUACAUAUAUACAUACAUACACACCUGUACGUACUGCAUUCCAAACAAACGCUCUCAAAUUCGCAUUUAGAAAAGGGCGCUUGUGUAAUACGGCUAAGACUGCUAUUGUUCGUGUUUUUCGUUUCCUGCGUAGAAGAUUAGAUCGCCAUUGCAGAAUCUCUUUAGCUAGUAAAAGAUAAAAAAUGAAAGAAAGAAAGAAAGCUUUUAAUUUUCCUCUCAUUCUUUUUUCUACGGGAAACAAAAAGUAAAUAUACGUAUAUAUAUUAUAAAAUACAUAUAUAUAUAUUAUGUUAUAUAUAUAUAUAUAUUAAAAAUAGUUUACGUUGUUGAAAGUAUUACUAGGAGUAAAUUUUAAUGAAGGGCGCCCGAGCCAUGUCGUUCAUCGUGAACUCUAUCGUUUAAUUAUCAUUCCGUUUUACAGCUAAGUGCAUGGAUGUUGCGUGCGUUACCAUCGCGUACACGGCUAAAUAAGAAAGACGACGAUAAAAAAAUCGAAAGAAAUGAGAAAUAACGAGUUUCGCGUGAAAACUCUAAAGAAAAAUUAGAUUAUCGUGUCGAGCCUUAAAUCAUCGAGCUCCGAAAGGAGAAAGAAAAAAGAACAAGAAAUAAACUCUUAUUGGCAGUCACUCAUUCGUCAUUUCGAUCGCGAGACUCUUAGAUGCGACGGCGACAAUUACAGUAUAACACAAUCGAAAAAAUAAAAAUAAAAAUAAAUGUGAAAUAAAUAAAUAAAUAAAUAAAUAAUAUAAAAAAAAUAGAAAAAAAAGAGAGAAAAUGCGAAAGGUCCAUCGGUUCUUCUUUCUGUCAAUCCCGAAGUGGACUCUCUUACUGUAAAAAAAGAAAAGAUGGCAUUAAGCUGCAGCAAUAAUAAUACAAAUAUAGGUAUUACGAAAGAAGUUUAGACAAAUAAAAAAGAAAAAGAGAGACGAGGGGAGAAAGAGGGAGAGAGAGAGAGAAAGAGACAGGAAAAAAAAGAAGGAAACAAUUUAACUCAAGGUAAUUCCAUUGACGAGCUGUAUUUUAACUUUUCGUGCGUCGUACUACCGCAAAGAUGCAUAAUACGCGAUAUAUAAAUCGUACGUAAAGCAAAGUGUAUACAUACAUGCAUAUAAGUAUAGUUAGGUGGCACGAUCGCGAUGAAGAUAAUAUAUUAUAUUAUAUUAUAUUAUAUUAUAUUAUAUUAUAUUAUAUUAUAUUAUAUUAUAUUAUAUUAUAUUAUAUUAAAUAACAAUUAUCUCUCGCUAAAACGCCUGCUAUUCUCACUGGCGAAGUGAGUAAAUCACGACAAAGAAAUUAAAAAGAAAAAGAGAGAGAGUGAAAGAAAAAGAGGAAAAAAGGGUAGCAUAUACUUAUAGCGGCAAAAGGAAGAAGUACGGCGAGCGAGCGGCGUUAAUGUUAAUGUUUUGUUGAAUAUAUUAUAUGAACGUUGAAGUACAUACAUUCAGAAGAUUAUGGGUUAAUGUUUCAAAUGGUAUAAUGGCAAGCGAAUUAUGACAUACAUAUAUACAUAAAAUGCAGAAACGAUAUCGUGCGCGUUGCUGUAAUAAUGAUAAUAUUAACUAUAAACGAUAAUAAUAUUGAUUAUUAAACAGUGAAUAAUUGCUCUUAUUAAGAUCACACCUUGCAUUGUACAGAAAACAUAAUAAUUGUUAGUUAUUAGGUAGCCGCAUUAUAAUCUAUUUACCCAGUUAAUCCAAAUACGAGUAAACGAAACGGCAGAAAGAUGGAGAGAAAAAGAGAUUAGAAAGAUAUUAGAUAGAAAAGAGAGAGAGAAAUAGAAAGAGAAAGAGAGAGAGAGAGAGAGAGAGACCAGGCAAUCCCUUUGUCACGUACGAAAGAGAGAUAAAAGAAAGAGAAAGAGAAAAGAUCAGAAAAAUGCGACAGACCCGAUACAAAACUCGUUGUCCGAACGAUGCUCUCCGUUAUAUUGAUGACAUUAAUAACACAAUAAAAACAAAGGAUUUGGAACCUCGUUCGGUUCUAUCCUUUUAUUAAUAAUUAAGUAAUUCCUCGGAAUUCAGAUCCGAAAUAAAACGGUAUCAUGCUGACUUCCGACGAAAUACUGAAAAUAUUUCUUUAGUAUUACGACAAUUUUAUGAUUUUUCCUAUCGUCACGCAAGCGCGAUGCUUCGUCCGAAUUUUUAUAGAUCUUGCCAAUAAGACGAGCAACGAAAAGAAUUGAAUUUUUCUCUUACACGCGCUUUUAAGGAAUUAUUAAAACGAACAAAAAAGAAGAAAAACGAGGGAAAAAAAGAAAAAGAAAUGGUCAAUUUUUCGAUCGAUCGAAGUCUCUUUUUGAAGCGUCUCAUUGGCGAUGAUCUACUUCGAACAAGCUCUUUUCAUCGAUCUCUUUCAAGUUGAGAAAAUAGAAACAUACUUUUCUCGUUGGCAAUGUACACGUGUAUACGUGUAUAUAUAUAUAUACACACAUAUUAUUAUAUAUAUUAUAUAUAUAUACAUAUGUAUAUCGCCAAGGACGUCACUGACAUCCGACCGUCCUCUUCUCGAUCAUCAUCGUACAUAUAUACAUAAUUACGCCGAGUUAACUCGUCAUCGCUGCUCGAACGAGUCGACGAAUGGAUCCGUAUGAAUGAUUUGGAAUGCGUGAUGGAAAGAGAGGGUGAAGGAGAGAUAGAUAGAUAGAUUAGAUAGAUAAAGAGGACAGAGGAAGAAAUUAGUCGAUGAGAAGUUCAAAAGGACUCAUUCAAAUUUUCGACAGGUCGGCAAGUUCGAGAACAUUUCAUAAGCCUUAAAGAAGGAAGAAAAAAAAAAUUGAAAGAAAACUCGAGAUUAUAGCGCAGCGUGUAGCGGUCAUCUUCGUAUAAUAGGAAUUGAAAUGAUAUACGAUAUGCAUGUAUAUAUGCAUAAAUAUAUACAUAUAUACAUUCAUAUACAUAUAUAUAUAUUUAUUUAUUUCUUAUCGUUACAUAUUAUUAUAUAUAUAUAUAUAUAAAUAUAUGUAUUAUAUAAGUUUUACGAUGUAAACAUAGCAUCGAUCAUUAUUAUUAUCGAUACACUGGCGAUCGAUCGCGCAACGCACGGGUUUGGCCUAACAAUAAGAGAAAACGAGAGCUCGUCCUCGCGAUCGAUAUCUGUAUAAGCCACAAAGAGAAAAAGAAGGUCGAAAAGCCGAGAGGUCGAUCGAUAUUCAAAAUCCGAAGUCUGUAACGUCGUUAUAUUUAGCGCAUAGAAUUCAAAAGGACAUCCGCGCGUUCUCUCAUUCAUAAAGCGCGCGUAAACCUUUCCAAUUUGAAAUAAGAAAAAGGAAAAUAGGAGAACGAGUUCGUUUCGGGAAUAAAUGCAACGAAGAGAAGACCGGAAGAAGACCGACGACGUUGACGAUCAAAAGAUGACGGACGUUUUAAGCGUUGUUCAAUUUUAUCCGAAAUAAUAUCUUUCACAUUUGCAUUGAAUUUAUAAGAAAGUUUAUAUUUUCGCGCCAAAAGCCGAAUCGCACUUUCAACAGAUUUGAAAAAUUAUAUUAGUAAUUUAACGAGUCCUUUAAUCAUUUUAUUUCGUCGAUAAAAGUAUAUAUACAUAUAUAUCGGAAAUGUCGAUCUCUAGAAAACGCUGUUCAUCUAUUCGUUCGUCACGUAUGAGAAAUUUAAAGAAAAGAAGAGAAGUGACGCGGGAUUAAUUGAUACGGAAGAGAGAGAUCUUCAUGUACUUACAUCAGCCAUUUCCAGAUAUAUAAAUAAAAUAAAGGGGGUGAAUAAAAGAAUAAAUAGGUAAAUAAUUAAAUAGUCGCGCGUGUGGAAGAUGAAAGAAAGAAAGAGAGAAAAUGAAAGGAAAGUUAGAUUAGUGGAAAAGAGUUCAAUGUAUGUUCAUGAAUGUUCGUGAAUUGCGUGCGAAUGUCGAAUGAAUGGCAGUGAAAGAGAAAGAUCGAAAGGGUGUGUCGUGUAUAAGUAUGCAUGAGAAAGAAAGAGGGGGAGAGAGAGAGAGAGAGAGUCUAAGCAAGAUCGUGUCACGUUGGUGCAAUUAUUAUAUUGAGAGGCUAUUUCAAUAACCUUAUAAGUGUCAAUUCCACUUUCAAACGUAAAUCGUAAUUAAUGCGAAAAUAUUAACACACGUAGAGAAAAAAAAGGAAAAAAAGAGAACAAAUGAAGCGACAAACGACGAUAAGGAGAAAAAAAAAUAAAAAAAAAAAAUAAGAAAGUCGUAGACGACAAAGCGAGAG
Molecule: RNA transcript, 8124 nt
Organism: Vespula vulgaris
Lineage: Eukaryota; Metazoa; Arthropoda; Insecta; Hymenoptera; Vespidae
Gene name: syntaxin-1A
Exons: 10
Source: RefSeq, a predicted model, not a curated record